RNAcentral lists this ribosomal RNA (403 nucleotides) under bacterium. RNAcentral describes it as "partial 16S ribosomal RNA". It matches the Rfam family "Bacterial small subunit ribosomal RNA", at positions 355 to 776 of the family's 1533-position model. The record is from RNAcentral. RNAcentral also lists the same sequence under 2 other names.
UGGGGAAUAUUGCACAAUGGAGGGAACUCUGAUGCAGCGACGCCGCGUGAACGAAGAAGGCUUUCGAGUCGUAAAGUUCUUUUAUAUGGGAAGAUAAUGACGGUACCAUAAGAAAAAGCCCCGGCUAACUACGUGCCAGCAGCCGCGGUAAUACGUAGGGGGCUAGCGUUGUCCGGAAUCACUGGGCGUAAAGGGUUCGCAGGCGGAAAUGCAAGUCAGGUGUAAAAGGCAGUAGCUUAACUACUGUAAGCAUUUGAAACUGCAUAUCUUGGGAAGAGUAGAGGUAAGUGGAAUUUUUAGUGUAGCGGUGAAAUGCGUAGAUAUUAAAAAGAAUACCGGUGGCGAAGGCGACUUACUGGGCUCAUUCUGACGCUGAGGAACGAAAGCGUGGGUAGCAAACAGG